This 253-nucleotide ribosomal RNA is filed under the name uncultured bacterium. RNAcentral's name for it is "partial 16S ribosomal RNA". It matches the Rfam family "Bacterial small subunit ribosomal RNA", at positions 524 to 776 of the family's 1533-position model. The record is from RNAcentral.
UACGUAGGGUGCGAGCGUUAAUCGGAAUUACUGGGCGUAAAGCGUGCGCAGGCGGUGAUGUAAGACAGAUGUGAAAUCCCCGGGCUCAACCUGGGAACUGCGUUUGAGACUGCAUCACUAGAGUACGGCAGAGGGAGGUGGAAUUCCAUGUGUAGCAGUGAAAUGCGUAGAGAUGUGGAGGAACACCGAUGGCGAAGGCAGCCUCCUGGGCCAGUACUGACGCUCAUGCACGAAAGCGUGGGGAGCAAACAGG